RNAcentral lists this long non-coding RNA (201 nucleotides) under Panax ginseng (ginseng). RNAcentral describes it as "long non-coding RNA (PGIN_LNC008573)". Lineage: Eukaryota; Viridiplantae; Streptophyta; Magnoliopsida; Apiales; Araliaceae. The record is from RNAcentral.
GAUCCUCCAAUUAGCAUAAUACAUUUUAUCUCACAACACUAUUACUCAAAUAAUAAAUUAGCUAACAUUUAGCCACAUAAUUAAACAUUGCAUAAUUCUUUAACUCAUUAGUAAUAUUAUUAUCCCUUAAUAAUAUUACUAUCACUUAACCAUUAUCUUAAACUUUUGUCUAAUAUUUUUAAUCAUUUAAUAGAAUAUUUA